UCUAAUACUUCAUAAUAUCCAUCUCGUAUGGAUUAAAGCUUUAUGCGCUUUGGGAAGGGGCCUGCGUAACAUUAGCUUGUUGGUGAGGUAAAGCUCACCAAGGCUUCGAUGUUUAACUGGUUUGAGAGGAUGACCAGUCACACUGGGACUGAGAUACGGCCCAGACUCCUACGGGAGGCAGCAGUAAGGAAUCUUCCACAAUGGGGCAACCCUGAUGGAGCAAUACCGCGUGCAGGAUGAAGCGUUUCGGCGUGUAAACUGCUUUAUCACCGAAGAUUAUGACUGUAGGUGAAGAAUAAGGACCGGCUAACUACGUG
Molecule: ribosomal RNA, 317 nt
Filed under: uncultured bacterium
Lineage: Bacteria
Description: bacterial SSU rRNA
Rfam family: Bacterial small subunit ribosomal RNA
Source: RNAcentral